RNAcentral lists this unclassified non-coding RNA (689 nucleotides) under Hevea brasiliensis (rubber tree). Lineage: Eukaryota; Viridiplantae; Streptophyta; Magnoliopsida; Malpighiales; Euphorbiaceae. The record is from RNAcentral.
ACUCCUUCACCGGAAUUUACCUAACGACCGCUGACGAAAUUCUCCGACCUCCAUUAAAGGAUCAAAAUUCAGCAAGGAGAUGAGAAAUCGAAAAUCACGAAGGAUAACGUUCAUCCUACUAUGCCUCGCUCUUCUUCCAAUUACACUCGGCCGCCAAUUGGUGCUUGUCCUCUCUCAGGAAGACCUUAAAGAAGCAGCCGCUGAUUCUAUAAACCUCGUCGAUGACCCGUCGGAUACUGGAUUCGAUGAUUUUAUUGACUCCGAAGCUAAGCCGGAUUAUGUGCUUGAUCCGGGUUCAUGGAGCCCCAUUUUCGAGCCCGCUACUGCGCCGCAAGUUCACCUUGAACAUGAAGGCGAAUACUACUCUUCGGUUAGUAAGAUAGUGAAGGCAUAUAGUAGAGGCGAUGAAAGGGCGAUGGAGAAGGCGGCGUCUGAGAUCGAGGCGGCUGCCUCAGCUGGCCACCCCCACGCGCAGUCUAUUUUGGGCUUUCUGUAUGGAAUGGGGAUUGGAAGAGAGAGGAGCAAAGCUAAGUCUUUUCUGUACCACCAUUUUGCUGCCGAAGGCGGUAAUAUGCAAUCCAAAAUGGCACUUGCUUAUACUUAUUCUCGCCAAGAGAUGCAUGAUAAAGCUGUGAAAUUGUAUGCCGAAUUGGCAGAGGUAGCCAUUAACAGUUUCCUGAUAUCAAAGG